RNAcentral lists this ribosomal RNA (253 nucleotides) under uncultured bacterium. RNAcentral describes it as "partial 16S ribosomal RNA". It matches the Rfam family "Bacterial small subunit ribosomal RNA", at positions 524 to 776 of the family's 1533-position model. The record is from RNAcentral.
UACGGGGGGGGCAAGCGUUGUUCGGAAUCAUUGGGCGUAAAGCGCACGUAGGCGGUCUUGUAAGUCAGGAGUGAAAGCCCUCGGCUUAACCGGGGAAGUGCUUUUGAAACUGCAAGACUUGAAUACUGGAGAGGAUCGCGGAAUUCCCGGUGUAGAGGUGAAAUUCGUAGAUAUCGGGAGGAACACCAGUGGCGAAGGCGGCGAUCUGGACAGAUAUUGACGCUGAGGUGCGAAAGCGUGGGGAGCAAACAGG